Molecule: ribosomal RNA, 521 nt
Filed under: uncultured bacterium
Lineage: Bacteria
Description: bacterial SSU rRNA
Rfam family: Bacterial small subunit ribosomal RNA
Source: RNAcentral
UAGUCCACGCCGUAAACGAUGGAUACUAGGCGUUCGGGGUGUUAACCCUCUGAGUGCCGGAGUUCACGCAUUAAGUAUCCCGCCUGGGGAGUACGGUCGCAAGGCUAAAACUCAAAGGAAUUGACGGGGGCCCGCACAAGCGGUGGAGUAUGUGGUUUAAUUCGAAGCAACGCGCAGAACCUUACCUAGGCUUGACAUCCCGGGACAACUGUAGAAAUACAGCCUUCUCUUCGGAGACCCGGUGACAGGUGCUGCAUGGCUGUCGUCAGCUCGUGUUGUGAAAUGUUCGGUUAAGUCCGGCAACGAGCGCAACCCUUGUCUAUAGUUGCCAGCAUUGAGUUGGGGACUCUAUAGAGACUGCCAGUGUUAAACUGGAGGAAGGCGGGGAUGACGUCAAGUCCUCAUGGCCCUUACGCCUAGGGGCUACACACGUACUACAAUGGGCAAAGACAGAGCGACGCGAAACCGCGAGGUGAAGCUAAUCGCAAAAACNUUAGUCUCAGUCCGGGAUUGAAGUCUGC